UACGUAGGGCGCAAGCGUUGUCCGGAUUCACUGGGUGUAAAGGGUGCGCAGGCGGGAAAGUAAGUUAGAGGUGAAAUCUCACAGCUCAACUGUGAAACGGCCUUUGAUACUGCUUUUCUUGAGUUAGGGAGAGGUUGAUGGAAUUCCAGGUGUAGCGGUGAAAUGCGUAGAUAUCUGGAGGAACACCAAUGGCGAAGGCAGCUCGCUGGGACGUGACUGACGCUGAGACGCGAAAGCGUGGGGAGCAAACAGG
RNAcentral lists this ribosomal RNA (253 nucleotides) under uncultured bacterium. Its description in RNAcentral is "partial 16S ribosomal RNA". It matches the Rfam family "Bacterial small subunit ribosomal RNA", at positions 524 to 776 of the family's 1533-position model. The record is from RNAcentral.